RNAcentral lists this transfer RNA (73 nucleotides) under Marmota monax (woodchuck). RNAcentral describes it as "tRNA.Ala". Lineage: Eukaryota; Metazoa; Chordata; Mammalia; Rodentia; Sciuridae. The record is from RNAcentral.
GGGGGUGUAGCUCAGUGGUAAAGUGCUUACCUAGCACAUGAGAGGUUUUGGGUUUGGUCCCCAACACCACACA